UUCCCAUCUCAGUCUCCUGAGUAGCUGGGAUCACAGUGCACACAGAGGAAAGGCCAUGUGAAGACAGAGAAAAGGCUGCCGUCUCCAGGCCGGGAAGAGAGGCCUCACCAGAAACCAAGUUGGACUUCUAGCAUCUAGAACUUGAGAAACUGGGAUGCUACUCCAGAAGAAGAAGAAUUAGUGCCUCUGUACAAAGGGAUCUUUGUGCUGCCAAAAGAGUAGAAAAGUUUAUCCCAGAACCAAAAAAUUUCAGAAUUGUGGAAAAGCAAGGUUUGGAAACCUACUCAAAAGAGAAGAAAUAUUGCUAUCAUAGAAUCCCUGAAUUAGUAUAUGCCUAGCUGCUAUAACAAAGAAGUUCAAAAACAUAAAUGACACUGUAAAAGAAGUUUAUUUCUUGUUCACAUAACUGUCCAAGGCUGCUGUUCCUGGGCACCUGGCAGUUCUCUUCCAUGCAAUGAUCCAAGGACACAGAGUUCUUCCAUCCUGUGACUCUACCAUCCCCGAGAGCCUGGAAAUUGAGAGUAAAGAGGGUACACCUGAUUCUUAACCAUCUUCACCUGGAAAUGACAUACAUCACAUUCACUCAUAUUCCAUUUGGAAGAACUAGUUCACAGCCCACCUGGGGAGAAGUGAAGGUUAGUUCAUGUAGCUGUGAAAUAGGAAGCCCGCUUCCUGGUGACAACUUCAUAUUAAAGGGGAAACACUAAUUUGGAAGGAUCAUGAGUUGUUUCCACCACAGUAUCCUACUCUGGCCCUAAAUAACCAGUAUACCCUUCUUCCCAAACAUAGAACAUAAUCAGACCUUUCCCAGGGGAGCCAACCCACAGUCAAGGAAUCAUUGCACUCAGCUCAUGGUCAGGGAUUUCUGAGCAAAGCGCUGUCCUACCUAAAGGUGUGUAUGUGACUCCUUGUGGUCUGGUGCUUAAAAAAAAAAUCAAAAGGCUAGUUAAGACUAGAUAACUCAUGUGUAUCAUAGUAUCAUGUGUAUUGUGGUAGGUUAACUAUAAUAAAUACUUUCAAUUGAAAAAAGAAAUGGAAGAAUCUCAGAGGUCAGGAAUCUAUAGCAAUGAUGAAAUUCUGCUGGAUAGACAUUUUGAAGAUCCCCUUCCCUGCUAAUGGCAGAAGUUUCUUAAUUAGACCCUGAUUUUGCUGUCUGAUAAGAACUAUCCAGCCAUUGUUAUUUUUUAUUAUUUUUAUU
Molecule: long non-coding RNA, 1198 nt
Organism: Cercocebus atys (sooty mangabey)
Lineage: Eukaryota; Metazoa; Chordata; Mammalia; Primates; Cercopithecidae
Exons: 3
Source: RefSeq, a predicted model, not a curated record